CCCGGUGAUUGUAGCGGAGGGGCCACACCCGUUCCCAUUCCGAACACGGCCGUUAAGCCCUCCAGCCCCGAUGGUACUGCACGGGUAACUGUGUGGGAGAGUAGGACGUUGCCGGGG
This 117-nucleotide ribosomal RNA is filed under the name Acidobacteriota bacterium. The record is from RNAcentral. Lineage: Bacteria; Pseudomonadati; Acidobacteriota.